This is a long non-coding RNA of Strongylocentrotus purpuratus (purple sea urchin), 1033 nucleotides long. RefSeq lists it as uncharacterized. Lineage: Eukaryota; Metazoa; Echinodermata; Echinoidea; Camarodonta; Strongylocentrotidae. The transcript is spliced from 2 exons. The record is from RefSeq and is a predicted model, not a curated record.
GCCUAUUGUCUAUAAAUUAUUUCCUGAUUUUGUUCUUCUUCAGAUGUGGCCAGCACUCUCGCUGUGGGCAUACUACUCGCUUUUGUUACCUUGUAUGGUAUCAUCAUAACAUUGAUGUACCUGCAUCUCAGACGCUCUAAAAUCGCUCUAAAACCGCCAGUCAGUGACAGGGAGGGACAGGAACUAGAUCCAUACACGUCCUUAGAUGCAACAACUAUGAAGCAACCAACCUACGAAGACAUCAAAGCAACUAGACACGGAAAUAGAGGCCACACAAAUGCAAUCGAGGGGGUAGAAUAUGAAAAUCAAACAAUACUAAAGCAAACAGCUAGAGUGAAGAAAUCAAACUUAGGAGUAGCCGAUGAGAAUACUGAGCCGGACUACGAGUUGCCAGUUGUAAAGUGAUUCCAUGAAGUAGGACCCAGAACGAGCUUUAAAAUACAGUCAAACCUGACUAUUAAGGUCAUUCCACGGAAAAAUAAUGGCCACACCCUGUAAAAUUGUUGCCUUGCUAUAAACAGCUUCUACAGUUAGUUUUCACAAGGGAGAAAAGAUGCAUGGCACUAAAGAGAGGUGGCUAUGAAGACAAGUUUGACUAUAUAUCAUGAGCUCUAUAAGUAAAGGUAUACAUGUAGCGAGUUUGUCAAAAUAUCAUAGGCUGUUACUUGAUAAUCUCUGAUGUUGUUGUUGUUAAUAGUAUAUUAGUAAAGCGCUUAGAGACAUUGUAUUAAGCGCUAUAUAAAAGCUGAAUAUUAUUGUAUUAUUACUAAUUUCAUCAUUCCUUUUAUAAUAAAUAGGAUAUAGGGUGCGUUAGGCCAGUAAAAUAUCAAGGUUUCGGAUAGGAUAGGUAUUACAACUGUAAUAAACAAGGAUAGGAUUAGUUUUUAUUAGAACUGAUCUCGCAAGAGGGAGUUUGAUUUAAUGUGUAUCAUUAGCGUAUUAAGCCGAAGCAAGGGUGAACUUUAAAGCCAUAUUGUAUUACCUUCGCGACCAAUAACAGGACACACACUACACCAUGAUACUACACGUAGUA